This is a non-coding RNA of Danio rerio (zebrafish), 510 nucleotides long. NCBI's taxonomy places the organism in Eukaryota, Metazoa, Chordata, Actinopteri, Cypriniformes, Danionidae. The record is from RefSeq and is a predicted model, not a curated record.
UUUCUCAAGCUAUAAAAUAGAAAACUCUGUUGUGAACCAGUUUCUUUCACAGGACUAAAGGAGUGUUUCGAGCCUAAACUAUAUUUCUGGAUGUGUUUGUGAGUUUUGAAGAAAUUUAUUAACAAAGACAAUGGGACCAAAACCUUCUAAAGUGAAAACACACGGUAGGGUAAAAUGUGGUCCAACCAGCAUCAUGGGUGAAUAUGAUCUUGAACUGGAAUACCCCAAUAACAACCCAAAUAUGGGGAACAAUAUGUUGGUCCCAUCAUACAAUAAUGCUGGAUACUACAACCCUCAAUUGAACUACAAUCCGGGCAAUUAUGCAUACGCUCAAUGUCACACUGAUUACCUGCGAAACUUUCAAACAUAUGAGACUGCAGUCGUGAGGAAUGGUAGACUUGUUGAAACAGAUGAAUAUAUGUAUUAUUAUUAUUAACCUAAUAUUUUAGCUUUCAUCAAUAAUUACACUACAUCUUCUGAAAAAUAAAGGAUCUACACUGUAUAAAAACG